Molecule: non-coding RNA, 107 nt
Organism: Ricinus communis (castor bean)
Lineage: Eukaryota; Viridiplantae; Streptophyta; Magnoliopsida; Malpighiales; Euphorbiaceae
Source: Rfam
AAACUAUGAUGUGGACAACUCCUCAAUAAAUCCUUGAAACAUUCUCAACAAUCGUAAAUAGUGUCAUUCUCUUACUGAAGAAACCCUGCUAUAUCAUUCCUCAACUU